Molecule: ribosomal RNA, 429 nt
Filed under: Pseudomonadota bacterium
Lineage: Bacteria; Pseudomonadati; Pseudomonadota
Description: Proteobacteria bacterium partial 16S ribosomal RNA
Rfam family: Bacterial small subunit ribosomal RNA
Source: RNAcentral
UGGGGAAUAUUGGACAAUGGGCGAAAGCCUGAUCCAGCCAUGCCGCGUGUGUGAAGAAGGUCUUCGGAUAGUAAAGCACUUUAAGUUGGGAGGAAGGGCAGUAAGCGAAUACCUUGCUGUUUUUACGUUACCGACAGAAUAAGCACCGGCUAACUCUGUGCCAGCAGCCGCGGUAAUACAGAGGGUGCAAGCGUUAAUCGGAAUUACUGGGCGUAAAGCGCGCGUAGGUGGUUCGUUAAGUUGAAUGUGAAAGCCCCGGGCUCAACCUGGGAACUGCAUCCAAAACUGGCGAGCUAGAGUAGGGCAGAGGGUGGUGGAAUUUCCUGUGUAGCGGUGAAAUGCAUAGAUAUAGGAAGGAACACCAGUGGCGAAGGCGACCACCUGAGCUCAUACUGACACUGAGGUGCGAAAGCGUGGGGAGCAAACAGG